RNAcentral lists this ribosomal RNA (492 nucleotides) under uncultured bacterium. RNAcentral's name for it is "partial 16S ribosomal RNA". It matches the Rfam family "Bacterial small subunit ribosomal RNA", at positions 29 to 507 of the family's 1533-position model. The record is from RNAcentral.
AGUGAACGCUGGCGGUAGGCCUAACGCAUGCAAGUCGAACGGCAGCACAGUAAGAGCUUGCUCUUACGGGUGGCGAGUGGCGGACGGGUGAGGAAUACAUCGGAAUCUACUUUUUCGUGGGGGAUAACGUAGGGAAACUUACGCUAAUACCGCAUACGACCUACGGGUGAAAGCAGGGGAUCUUCGGACCUUGCGCGAUUGAAUGAGCCGAUGUCGGAUUAGCUAGUUGGCGGGGUAAAGGCCCACCAAGGCGACGAUCCGUAGCUGGUCUGAGAGGAUGAUCAGACACACUGGAACUGAGACACGGGCCAGACUCCUACGGGAGGCAGCAGUGGGGAAUAUUGGACAAUGGGAGCAAGCAUGAUCCAGCCAUACCGCGUGGGUGAAGAAGGCAUUCGGGUUGUAAAGCCCUUUUGUUGGGAAAGAAAAGCAGCAGGUUAAUACCCCGAUGUUCUGACGGUACUAAAAGAAUAAGCACCGGCUAACUUCGUG